CACAUUUUCUUUUCAGAUUCUUUUCCAUUAUAUGUUGUUAUGAGAAAUUGAAUAUAGUUCCCUGUGCUAUACAGGAGGUCCUUGUUGUUUAUUAUGUAUACAGUAAUGUGUAUCUGUUAAUCUUAAA
Non-coding RNA from Vicugna pacos (alpaca), 127 nucleotides. NCBI's taxonomy places the organism in Eukaryota, Metazoa, Chordata, Mammalia, Artiodactyla, Camelidae. The record is from RefSeq and is a predicted model, not a curated record.